AUUGAACGCUGGCGGCAUGCUUUACACAUGCAAGUCGAACGGCAGCGCGGGCUUCGGCCUGGCGGCGAGUGGCGAACGGGUGAGUAAUGCAUCGGAACGUGCCCAGUAGUGGGGGAUAGCCCGGCGAAAGCCGGAUUAAUACCGCAUACGACCUGAGGGUGAAAGCGGGGGACCGAAAGGCCUCGCGCUAUUGGAGCGGCCGAUGUCGGAUUAGCUAGUUGGUGGGGUAAAGGCUUACCAAGGCGACGAUCCGUAGCUGGUCUGAGAGGACGACCAGCCAACCUGGACCGAGGAACGGGCCAGACUCCCUAGGGAGGCCGGAGGUGGGAAAUUUGGACAAAGGGGGGAAACCCGAUCCAGGCAUGGCGCGGGGGGGAAAAAGGCCUUCGGGGUGGAAAACGGCUUUGGUUGGGAAGAAAACCCUCUGGGCAAAAACCCCGGGGGAUGACGGUACCGGAAGAAUAAGCACCGGCUAACUACGUG
Molecule: ribosomal RNA, 483 nt
Filed under: uncultured bacterium
Lineage: Bacteria
Description: partial 16S ribosomal RNA
Rfam family: Bacterial small subunit ribosomal RNA
Source: RNAcentral